CGUAGGGUGCGAGCGUUAAUCGGAAUUACUGGGCGUAAAGCGUGCGCAGGCGGUUUGUUAAGAUAGGCGUGAAAUCCCCGGGCUCAACCUGGGAACUGCGCUUAUGACUGGCAAGCUAGAGUACGGCAGAGGGGGUGGAAUUCCACGUGUAGCAGUGAAAUGCGUAGAGAUGUGGAGGAACACCAAUGGCGAAGGCAGCCCCCUGGGUCGAUACUGACGCUCAUGCACGAAAGCGUGGGUAGCAAACAGGAUUAGAUACCCUGGUAGUCCACGCCCUAAACGAUGUCAACUAGGUGUUGGGAGGGUAAACCUUUUAGUACCGGAGCUAACGCGUGAAGUUGACCGCCUGGGGAGUACGGCCGCAAGGUUA
This 370-nucleotide ribosomal RNA is filed under the name uncultured organism. Its description in RNAcentral is "bacterial SSU rRNA". It matches the Rfam family "Bacterial small subunit ribosomal RNA", at positions 526 to 896 of the family's 1533-position model. The record is from RNAcentral.